This 130-nucleotide ribosomal RNA is filed under the name Dinophysis sp. RNAcentral's name for it is "partial small subunit ribosomal RNA". It matches the Rfam family "Eukaryotic small subunit ribosomal RNA", at positions 1678 to 1808 of the family's 1831-position model. The record is from RNAcentral. Lineage: Eukaryota; Dinophyceae; Dinophysales; Dinophysaceae.
GCUCCUACCGAUUGAGUGAUCCGGUGAAUAAUUCGGACUGCAGCAAUGUUUAGUUCCUGAACGUUGCCGUGGAAAGUCUGGUGAACCUUAUCACUUAGAGGAAGGAGAAGUCGUAACAAGGUUUCCGUAG